Molecule: ribosomal RNA, 341 nt
Filed under: Vibrio sp. HR11-01
Lineage: Bacteria; Pseudomonadati; Pseudomonadota; Gammaproteobacteria; Vibrionales; Vibrionaceae
Description: partial 16S ribosomal RNA
Rfam family: Bacterial small subunit ribosomal RNA
Source: RNAcentral
UGUUUGCCAGCGAGUNAUGUCGGGANCUCCAGGGAGACUNNCGGNGAUAAACCGGAGGAAGGUGGGGACGACGUCAAGUCAUCAUGGCCCUUACGAGUAGGGCUACACACGUGCUACAAUGGCGCAUACAGAGGGCUGCCAACCAGCGAUGGUGAGCGAAUCCCAAAAAGUGCGUCGUAGUCCGGAUUGGAGUCUGCAACUCGACUCCAUGAAGUCGGAAUCGCUAGUAAUCGUGAAUCAGAAUGUCACGGUGAAUACGUUCCCGGGCCUUGUACACACCGNNCNUCNCACCAUGGGAGUGGGCUGCAAAAGAAGUGGGUAGUUAACCNUCGAGGAGGACG